RNAcentral lists this ribosomal RNA (325 nucleotides) under uncultured bacterium. Its description in RNAcentral is "bacterial SSU rRNA". It matches the Rfam family "Bacterial small subunit ribosomal RNA", at positions 30 to 355 of the family's 1533-position model. The record is from RNAcentral.
AUUGAACGCUGGCGGCAUGCCUUACACAUGCAAGUCGAACGGCAGCGGACCUUCGGUGCCGGCGAGUGGCGAACGGGUGAGUAAUAUAUCGGAACGUACCUUUCAGUGGGGAGUAACGUAGCGAAAGUUAACGCUAAUACCGCAUAUUCUGUGAGCAGGAAAGACAGGGGAGUCGCAAGACCUUGCGCUGAUUGAGCGGCCGAUAUCAGAUUAGCUAGUUGGUGAGGUAAAGGCUCACCAAGGCGACGAUCUGUAGCGGGUCUGAGAGGAUGAUCCGCCACACUGGAACUGAGACACGGUCCAGACUCCUACGGGAGGCAGCAGU